CUUUCUUCUUUUCAGAAACAUCUUUAGUACUUCCUUUAGCCUUGUUUUGCCUUUUUUUUUUUUCUUUCUUCAUUUCUCUUUUCAUUGUCCUCCACCUUAGGAAUCACAUCACAGCACUAAAAAGUACCUAAAUUUGGUCACAUAUGUUGCUGGUGUACUAGUUCGUAGGAUCCCUCUGUAUAUGCCAAGCAGUUAUAUGGGCUCCURUGGCAGAAGGUUUUGGAAGACUGCAAUGGAAUUGGUAGGUUGACCAUAGAAAUAUUUUUAAUGUUACUUUCAGUGCAUCAAAUCAGAGAAUUUUUUCUUGCUUACUUAGCUCCAACCCUGUCUCACACUUUCUUCCUAUUUUGUUGGGCAAUAAUAUCCAGUAAUAACUGUCAUUUCCCUUUUCUGCAGAAGGGAGUGAAUGUUACAGCUUUCAAGAUAUCACAGAAAACAGAAGUUUCUCUAAUGUGGUGUAUAAGUAGAAACACUUUCUAUCUGCUGAGACGAGGCAUAAAGGAAGCACGAGCCUCUGAGGAGACUGACUGUGAAGCAGUGAGGUACAUCUACAACGUGAAGGGAUAGCAUGUAGCCCCAUCGUGUAGCACUGUGCUGGAUUUUCACAGGAGUUACAAAGCAACUGCAUCAGAAUGCCUAGGACUCUUUCAUUACCAAAAAAAGAAGAAGGGAAGAAAAGAAAGUGUGUGAGGGGGAGUUCUUAGGUCCARCCAGGCCAACAUGGAAAGCCCUGAGCUGAACAAGUGAGAGAAUCAGCCAACAACUUCUCCCUCAGGUCCCAAAACACCAUGCAUAAAUUCCAUAUGAAGUUCAUCUUCCAGCCCUCAGCCUUCCUGAAUGUUCAGGGAAUGACRUGUUUCUGUCUACAAAGGAUAAAACUUAUGUAGCGAAGGUAAGAUCAGAAAUAACAUGAUCAUCUUCUUUAUUAGUGCCUUGGGAUGUAUGUUCUUCACGCUGGAGACCUCUAGCACUCCUUGUGAACUUCUAAUUGGUAUUCCCCAUUGUCAGUCCCUUCGGUACAGUGCAGGCCUACUUGGCUUGCUCACUUGUGUCUUGGUAUAAAUAGCAGCACAGUGGAAGUAGUAAUCAUGAUUUGGAGUGUCUCUGUUACAUGGUGUCCACCUUGAACCUAAUUUUCAGGGAGGGAUUUCCAGCAGUUAGCAAACAUCUCCAUGUCUCAGCCUGGCCCCCAAGGUUUAGAAGGCUGUAUGUUCCCCAGAAAAAUAUAGCAUAAGCAGUAAUGAUCCACAUUUCACAAAACCAUGCUGGAUGGUGUACAAAUCUGUAUAUCAUCUGAAUCUCACCUUGGACCAAGUUUCUGGUCAUUCUCUAGAAGCUAAGCUUGCUAAUUCAUUUAAUUUGCUUCAGUGGAAGUGGGGGGACAACAGGUUAUCAGUAGUAAUAGAGUUAGAAAAGGGAAAUUACCAAAGAGAAUGUCAGCCAGCAGGUAUAUGCUUCUGCCUGAGGAAAAAGAGGAAAGGAAACA
This 1486-nucleotide long non-coding RNA is filed under the name Apteryx rowi (Okarito brown kiwi). RNAcentral's name for it is "lncRNA (ENSARWG00000016489.1)". The record is from RNAcentral. Lineage: Eukaryota; Metazoa; Chordata; Aves; Apterygiformes; Apterygidae.